This is a long non-coding RNA of Meriones unguiculatus (Mongolian gerbil), 3861 nucleotides long. RefSeq lists it as uncharacterized. The transcript is spliced from 4 exons. NCBI's taxonomy places the organism in Eukaryota, Metazoa, Chordata, Mammalia, Rodentia, Muridae. The record is from RefSeq and is a predicted model, not a curated record.
UUAUAGACUAAUUGUAUUUUUUUUCCUACAAAAUGCUCUGGAAAAUUCUUACAAUAAAUUAAAAAAAAAACAAUAGCAAGGGAGAAGCUGGGAAGAAAAUUGUAUAAGGAUAUAAGCUCCAUCAUGGUAACAAAAAAUCACAUCUAGAGAAAACAAAACUGCGAGUGUGCUGGGACCCUGAAGCAAAGAGGGAGGCACCGGGGCCAUGGCAGCGUGAGAGAACAGUGGUAUGAAUGGAAGAGGCCCAGUGUCCUGGCUACAGUCUCCAAGUCCAAGCCUUUAGCCGUGGACCAGAGGGCAGCCAAGUCUUGCUUCAGUCUGGCUGUCUGGUCCAGCCUGCCCCAAAGCCCAGAGGAAGGGUUGCUGUGCCACUGAGCUUAAAGAAAAGAAGCCGUUUGGUCAGUGUGUCCAGAGGACAGUGCUUGAGAAGGUGCCAGAGAGGAAAGGGGUGGCCAGCUGGGCCAGGACACUCUGGCAGGCCCUUUGUCAGGAGCCUGGGAUUUUAUCCCAAAGUCAAGGAGGAGCCAGCGAUGCUUCUAGCUUUGCUUUCGGACAGAUUACUGCGUUAGUGGGGUCUCACUUCUUGGCAAUACCAAAGCCUCACUAACUCAGCCAUGAAAAUAAAAGCCAAGCAUAAAAUGGAGAAAAACCCGAAACUGUGAAGAACAGAGCACACAAAGAAAUUUUCAGCACCCAGAGUUAGGCAGAGUUCUUAAAUUCAUCAUAAGAAGACACAGUGGUCAAAGCACGAGUCAUGAAAAACCACACUGACUGGGCUGAAUGGUUCCGUGGAUAAAGAUACCUGCGGUCAACCCUGAAGACCAGAGAGCCAUCCCUGGAACCCACACGAUGGAAGGAGAGAACGGACUCUCGCAAGAUGUCCUCUGACCAACACAUGUUCACGGUGAAACAUGCACGUGUUAACACAGAAAACAGAUAGAUAGGUAGAUAGAUAGAUAGAUAGAUAGAUAGAUAGAUAGAUAGAUAGAUAGGACAAAAAAUUAAAAGAACAAUUUGAUAAACCAAAUCAUAAGGAUCAAGAAACUGCCAAGCAGGGGUGACACAUUCCUUUAAUUCCAGCACUCUAAAGGCAGAGGCAAGUGUGUCUCUGUGAGUUUGAGGCCAGCCUGGUCUACAGAGCAAGUUCCAGGGCAGCCAUGGCUACACAGGGAAAUCCUGUCUUGAAAAACAAACAAACAAACAAACAAACAAACAAAGAAUCAAGAAAGUUAUACUGUGAAUUAGCUUGGUGGUAGAGCACUUCCCAGCAUCCCCAAGGCCCUGAGUUUUAUCCUUAGCACUGCAAAAAUUUAAAAGCUUAUGCUCUUUAAAAGAACCACCAGCAGAGUAAAAAGGCUAACCACAGACAGGGAGAAAUAUUUGCAAAUAAUAUAUCUAAUGAAAGUCUUGGAUGAAGUCUCAAAACGCAAAAUAAAAAAAGUAGCUAAUAAAAAUUAGGCGAAAGAUUUGGACGCUUCCCUCAAGAUAAGCAGAUGGGAAACAUACACAGGAUAUCCUCAACAUUAUUUUCAGUGGAGGGGCCCAUGUUAAAACCACAGGAGGCAGGCUAGAAAGACGGCUCAGCGCGUAAGAGCACCUGUUCUCCCGAUCAAACACCUACAUACAAACACACACACACACACACACACACACACACACACACGAAGAAAAAGAAGCUCUGCCCCCAUGAUGCACCUGUCUAAAUUAAGAACACUGGCCACGCCGAGUGUGGGUGAGGAGGUGGGGCAGUAGCCGUGCUUGGAAUUUGCAGGAUAGGGGUGUGAAAUGGCACAAUCACUUUGGAAAAGAGGUUUGGUCGGUUUCAGAUCCCAUCGAAGGGGUGAUCCAGCCAUUUUCCCAGAAGUUAACCGGAGACAAGAAAGCGUGAUGAUGUGCCCUUACAAGUACAUGAUCAUUCAGAGAAGUUUUACUUGUAAAAGCCCCAAACUAGAAACUUACAGCAUAGCCGUGCCUGGGAGAAUGGAUAAGCAAUCCGUGGUACAGACACUCACAAAGGACUGCCAGCCAUCAAUGAAUGGGCAAGCUAUUCAUACAAUAUGGAUGACCUCAAACAAUUACGCUGAGAAAAGAAGCCAGACAAAACAAUAUUUCCCAGAAGCCCAAAGAACUCUGCUCUCCGCUCUCCAGUGAAUUCCUCUUUGUCUCAAAGCUCUUUCUGACUUGGUGCCUGUUGCCUGCAAUCAGAACUGUUCUGGGGAGAAAGGAUGCUACCGCUUAGAGUGUGCCGAGGACACAGCUGCAAUCUGAAUACUCAGGGAAAUGAAGAGGCAACAAGUUCCGAGGCGGCAUUUUAGAAGCUGCAUGCCACCAUUUCAGAGGCCGGAGGAGCCCAAGGCACCUGCAACAACAGCGUUGGAAAGAAAGAAAUGUCAGCACUGCGUGGCACGGCUGAGAACAGAACUCAGAGACAGAUGCAUGCUGGGCAAGCUGUUUGCCAACUGAGCCAUACCCCAGGCCUCAAUUCACUGACGUGAGCGUAAGUAAUUCAUGAGAGCGCCUUAUAUCAGACAGAAACAGGUACAGGAGAAACUGUCCCAUGUCAAGAGGGCGGCAGAGGACAAACCUGAGCCAGGAAAUGCAGACACGCAGUGUACCAUGCUUGGGAUAAACAAGCAGGCUGUCCUAGAGGCAUGUGGAUCUGGACGCUAAAGCUCCGUCACCUGGUACAGACACCAGGCAGGGCCGACACUGGUGUGGCCCGAACACUGGAGGUCACAGGGCCCACUGCGAAGCUGCAGCCCUAGAGAUGCUGACACACAGGGCAAGAUUCCAGAGGCUGGGAGAGAGGGACAAGGCGAGGCCCCAAAAUAGAUGUGGGCAGGGGGUCCUGCCAGCUCAGGCAACCCAGAAGGCCAAGUAACAGCGGCCUGGGCCCAAGGAGGCCAAGGAGUUGGCUCACCCAUGGGGAGGCUUUGGGUCUCUUUUCCAGAGCAGCCUCAGAGGACACUAAGGAACCCUGGCUAGAAGAGACAAACCAGACUCUGGCUGAGCAAGCCAGAGGGAUAAGAGAAGCUGAAUGGGGAUGCAGAGUCUUGCUGUGUAGUCAAGGCUGCCCUUUAAUCCACCUUCUUGCUUUUGCCACCAGAGUGCUGGAAUCACAAGCACCAAAACACUGGGCUCCAGAUACGUUUUUUUCUUGUUGCUGCUGGUGCCGUUUGGGUUUUGUUUGUUUGUUUGUUUGAGACAUGGUCUCACUAGCCUGGAACUCACCAUGUAGACCAGGCUAGCUUCUAACACACGAGAUUAAGUUUUCCUCUGCCUCCCAAGUGCUAGGAUUAUAGGUGUGUGCCACCACACCCGGCCAGGUAGGCAUUUUAAAGUCAAAAACUCCUAAAAAUUAGUACUUUAAAAAACAAUAAGAUUUACAUGGUUCAGAAAUUCAGAACAAAUGCCUUUCAAAAAGCCCGUCUCCUGUCCUUGCCCCUCGGUCCUCGCCAAAGAGGCAGCAGCCAGCACAGAAAGUAAGUCUCACACUGGAGAAAUCUGGAAGCUAGGAGCAGAAAAUAAAUUCAGCAACAUUUGAGGAAAGGGUGGCAUCGAGGGAGGGAGGCGGCGGAGACACCAGUGGCCUGGAGGAGCCGCCUUAACUGCAGCAGUGGGAAAUGAGUUUUGGACAAAAACAUGUGUUUCAUUGAAUGGCAAAAAAAUUGAUUUUUUUUUUUAAAUUCAUUUUCCCUCUGCCCGGGGAACAUGAGCUGGACAUCUUCUGGGACUCACCAGCAACUGGCAUCCACAGCGCUUUGCCCCACUCCGCAGCUGGAACCUGUCCUCCCCCUUGGAAGGGCCUCAGCACCUGGCAUAGAGCACGAAGCCUGGCAGCUGCAGAUAAACACUCUGUGA